Misgurnus anguillicaudatus (oriental weatherfish) is the source of this 5204-nucleotide non-coding RNA. The record is from RefSeq and is a predicted model, not a curated record. NCBI's taxonomy places the organism in Eukaryota, Metazoa, Chordata, Actinopteri, Cypriniformes, Cobitidae.
ACACACACCCAAGCUGGUAGCUUUCCACUCUCAAACUCAAACACCUCAUUUUUACGUAAUAACUCAAUGCAUAUAUGAAACACACAGUGUUUGUAGAAUAAAAUGAUUAAUUAAAGAAAUAUAAAAUGGAACAAAAUCAAUUUCCACAGUCCUUAUUUGGACAUCUUUGUAACUUUAACACGUUUGGCAAUCAUCAUGAAAUGUAAGCAGUAAAUAUAUAAAACAUAAUUAUUCAACAACACAACAAUACUCCAUUGUUCAUGAAUUGGUUAAAUGCAUUCAUUAGUUAAACAUACUAAUUUUCACUUUCUCUAAAUAUAACAUAAUUAUAAAGCAAACAACUUGUUUAUUGAAACCAUCUGUUCUGUGUGUUUUCCCUCCAGGGCUUUUUCUAUAGCCCCCCUGGCUCCCACACACAUAUCAGCCACCCUCUCCUUGGUAACUUUCCACACACACAGACAACUUUCUUGUGGUCAUCACAAAAAACAUUGUUGUAACAAUACACAUUAAUUAAGAUUAUAAGCAGCACGAUUAAUAAAACAAAAUCAAAUCCCACAUAAGGUGUACAAGUGAGAAGAGAAAUGGUAUUAGAAGAAGACUAUAAUCAAAUCAUAGCAACAUAUACAAGGAAGAUAUUUGAAGACCAAAUAAUAUCGUUUGGAGAAUUAUUUUGGAUUUGUAGAAAAAGAAAAUGUCGUUAUCAUUGGGAUGGAGAGAAAAGGUAUUUAAAUAUGAUGAAGACAUGUAAAUCAAUACAAUAGAAGGGAAUUUAAAAUCCUCAUUAAAGGAUGAUCAGAACAAUUCAUCAUAAAAUUAUAUGUAGAUUCUGUCGAUUAACCAAAUAAGUGCAAAAUUACAUUAAGGUAUGGGACUAAGCUAAAUAAGGAAUUUAAUAAAGUUUGUCAUAAUAAAAAUACAAAAUAAAUAAACUAUGUAAAGUACUACAAUCAAAAGUAGAUUAUUAAGGUUACCAAUUAGGCAUUAAUUUAUCUUAGGAUAACAACUAGAUGCAGCCAGUAGAAAUACAUGACAACAUAUACUGAAUCAAUUUUAGUUAGAGGUUAGCGGGUAAAUAAGUUGUACGUGUCUUUUUAGAAAACCAAAUGGAAGUUAAAAUAUCAGGAUGAUGGAAAAUUUAACUUGACAUCAACAAGAAUGUUAUUAGGUCUUACGUUACAAAACAGAAUUGAAUUAAUAACUGGGAGAUGGGUAUUCAAGUACUUCUGAUGAUGAUGAUGAAGAGGAGGAAUAAGAUGUACUUGUAUUGAAACAAAUAUUUCUUAUUUGUCAUGCUUUACUUUUUGUUUUUAUUUUUUUGUAAUUUUUGUUUUAUUUGCUUUUGGGGUUUCUUUGCUUUAUUUUGUUUACUUUUAACUUUACAAUAUAUUCUACAUAACUGGGACAACCAACAGCAGGUACAGAACCAAUUACACACACAUUUUUUAAACUGUUAAUAAAGAGGGACUUUAAGUUCUUUUACUUUUACAUUCAAAGACAAAAUAAGAAUGGAAAGAUGUUUGCUCUUAUUGUCCAUAGUUCGAAGUGCAGUGGCAUAAUUUGGUAAUUGGUAAUGUACAGUGGCUUUCUUUAGUCACAAUAUAUAGUUAUAAUUGAGACACUGAGUUAUGAAACGGCACUCCGGAUUAAAAUAAAUAAACAGGAAAACUGAGGCUAAGGAAGCCUCAGAGCGGGGAAUGAAGGGGUUUGUUUUAAUCCGAAUAUGUGUAUCAAAUACUUUACCAUUAUGUUUUUAUGUUUGAAGUUCAGUUAUAUGUGUAGUGUACCAUUGUGUAUGUAGGAAAAGUACCAGCAUGCAUUGCAGUUUGUUCAAAAAGUACAUGGGGAAGGGUCGCUACAUGGCGUGGGUAGGAACAAAGGACCUACAGUUCCAGGAAUGUUUUUCUAUAUGAUAUGAACCAUAUGUUGCUUCAUGUUACAAACCCAUGGGAAUAGGAUUGCGUGCGAAGGCAGACUUAAAUACUCUAGUACAGGGGAAAGGUUUUCAGUGAGUUUUGGAGAUUUUGCAGGACUGCUCGGCUUUUAUUCUAUCUUUUGAACAUGAAACCUAUGGUUUGAGUAUUUUAUUCUUAAAGAACCCAACAGGUAAACCACAACAAUAACUGCUAGUUUGAAAGCUGUUGGAACGUAUCCUAUUUCUAGCGAUGAGUUAAAGAUAUUUAGAACCGGGGUUGACACUACAGGGAAUACCUCUUUAAGUAGUUUUGUGGGAACGGGGUCUAAUAUACAGGACGAUGAUUUGGAUGAUAUAACUAGUCUAGAGAGCUCAUCUAUUGUAGUAGGUUUAAACGAAUCAACAGAUUCUUGACUCUUAAGUAAGGUUUAGGAAAUGACAUUUAAAUUACUUUCAAAUUCUGAAGUGAUUAUACAGUAAUAUAAUUAUGUAAAAGAUAUGGAAUUAUUUUAUGCACUUAGGUGAAAAUUUUUACAUGUCUUUGAUUUAUGCACUUUACUGGAAAUUUCAUUUAUGUCUUUAAUUAUUUUCCAACAUCGAGUUUUAUUUUACCUUUUACAUGUACAAGGAUUAUUUUGCAAUUGCGACCUGUACAAAUUAAUCUCAAUACCCUCCUACUCAUUUUGGCACACAAAAAAGAGCCUUUCAAGAACAGUGGUUUAAAAGUUUCAGAUGGCUGGAAUACUCAGCUAGACAAAAUGCUGCUUUCUGCUUUCCUUGUAGGUUAUUUUUGUCACAAGGUGACAAUCUUUAGGGGCGGAACCAAAGUUAAGGAAGUUUGGUUCCGCCCGGAAGUGUUUCCCACCCGGGCCAGUAAGGAAAAACACCGGAAUUUCCGGUAGCGCCGCGAGAGGGAAAUCGGCGGAAUUAGACGCAGCUGUGCCUAGUUAACGGGAGCGGCGAUGAUUGGAGGACACGCCGGGCAGGCCAGUAUAAAAAAGAACAGUUAAAUCACAGUUGAAGGCUGGUUGUUGACGUUGUACUACAGUGUUGUGUGUACUCAUCGGGUGCGUUGUUGGUAGCGGUCCGGCUCUCUUUCCCAGGCUGAAGCAGUGUAGUUGGAGAGAUGUGGUGAACCUUAAAGGUUGGAAAACGAACGGAAGAAAUCGUAAGCACAGCCAUAACGUAAGAAGAAAACGGAGUAUAUGUGAGUACAGACCUGCAAGUGGUUUGUGUAAACGCUGGAGAGACGCCCUGCUUUGCAAGAUUGAUGUUUGCCUGUUGUGUGGAUUGGAAGCAAAGGACAGUGACAUUUAUCGUUUACGGUGCCUGUGAGUAUAACAUUUGGUGAAGAUGCUUUGUACACUAACCUGUAUUUUCAGUGGAUACCUCCAGGAGAAGGAGGGCGGCCCUACCCCUGAGAUAGCGUGGUAGGUGAGCCGAGGAAACAUCCGACGGAAGCUAAACGCAGCGACAAGACCAUCAGCUAGACCGAAAAUUCCCAUCAACCAUCGGACCUGGAAGUGUAAAGAGACGGGCGUCCUUUAUGUACACUUGAGCGUGGUGGGUGAGUCUUUGUGUCGUGGAAACUUACACUUUUGACGUGGUGCUGUGGACUGCGGUGUAUUGCUGUGUCUUGUCAGACAAACCCCCGCCUUCGUACACUUUGUCAAAAGGAAGACGAAGAGGUUGCCGGUCUUAGCAGAGAAUAUCAGAAUUUAUGCUGUGAACACGCUUUAGGUCUACAUAGCGAAGCGGUGCUACGGAAACGAUUUCCCGUCCAGACGUUGGGGUAUUUCUGGAGAAACGGCGGUGAAGGACUGAAUGAUCGGUGGAUGUGUGAGUACAAUUAAAGGUCAUUAUUGUUGAUGCGUUGAUCUACCCAAUAUUUAUUGUUGCAGAGAGUGAGGUGUAGGCACUCCGCCGUCCCGGGUCUCUACAAAGGGGCGCCCCUGCUCGGGAUACGAUCGCCGAGACGGCAGACAGAGAAGGGCAGCGCUCGGCCUGGUGAGACGAUGUGACGUGUCCACCCCCCUGUGACCAACGAGCUCGUUGUGAGGGUUCGUCCCCGACGUCGCCAGAAACCUACCUGUGGAUCUGACCUAUUGAGAGGAAAGCACGAUUAGUAAGUCCGCCGUACUUACCUUAUCCAACUUAAAUAACCCCCAAGUCUAUGAGUUACCGAAACAGGAGGGCACCGCACCCAGCUGCUGUCUGUGGAGAGAGAGAGAAAGAGAGUGAAUACCAGAGAGACGAACAGUGCGAACCUCAUACUUACCGUAGGCUGUAACCAGCGAAGAGGUGAGAAAGCCAAGUGAACUAACUGUGUCUUGUGUCCCAGCUGCUGUCUGUGGGGAGAGAGAGAAAGAGAGUGAAUACCAGAGAAACGAACAGUGUGAACCUCAUACUUACCGUAGGCUGUAACCAGCGAAGAGCUGCUGUCUGUGGAGAGAGAGAGAGAAAGAGAGAGUGAACAACAGAGCAACGAACAGUGUGAACCCUAUACUUACCCUAGGCUGUAACCAGCGAGGAGGUGAGGAAGCCAAGUUGAACUAACUGUGUCUUGUGUCCCAGCUGCUGUCUGUGGAGAGAGAGAGAAAGAGAGUGAAUACCAGAGGAACGAACAGUGUGAACCUCAUACUUACCGUAGGCUGUAACCAGCGAAGAGGUGAGGAAGCCAAGUUGAAUUAACUGUGUCUUGUGUCCCAGCUGCUGUCUGGAGAGAGAGAGAGAAAGAGAGUGAACAACAGAGAAACGAACAGUGUGAACCCCAUACUUACCGUAGGCUGUAACCAGCGAGGAGGUGAGGAAGCCAAGUUGAACUAACUGUGUCUUGUGUCCCAGCUGCUGUCUGUGAAGAGAGAGAGAAAGAGAGUAAAUACACGAGAAACGAACAGUGUGAACCUCAUACUUACCGUAGGCUGUAACCAGCGAAGAGCUGCUGUCUGUGGAGAGAGAGAGAGAAAGAGAGUGAACAUACGACAGAGAAACGUGAAGGCACGUGGGGCGAAGACCCCCUGCUGAACAGAGAAAGGUACGCAAACAGCGAAAAGUCCAUUCAACAGUCCUAUUGAUAUUUACUCUGCCUCCAGGAAGGAAGAAGGAGGGCGCCACGGAUAGCAGGGACCAGGCGUUGGAGCCUGACGUUCCUUUCCCCCGGUGUACGGUGGUCUGCACCCCCGUUGCCCCUUGUCCCUGCCUGCCCGUGGCAGCAGUCUCCCUGGAGGGAGGAGUCAGACACUAUUUAGGUUUAAUUACCCUUUCCCCAUUUCCCCGCCCUUUUAAAUAUUUC